This 513-nucleotide ribosomal RNA is filed under the name uncultured bacterium. Its description in RNAcentral is "partial 16S ribosomal RNA". It matches the Rfam family "Bacterial small subunit ribosomal RNA", at positions 29 to 523 of the family's 1533-position model. The record is from RNAcentral.
AACGAACGCUGGCGGCAUGCUUAAUACAUGCAAGUCGAGCGAACAGAUGAAGUGCUUGCACUUCUGACGUUAGCGGCGAACGGGUGAGUAACACGUAAGGAAUCUACCUAUAAGCGGGGGAUAACAUUCGGAAACGGGUGCUAAUACCGCAUAAUAUCUUCUUCCGCAUGGAAGAAGAUUGAAAGACGGCUCUGCUGUCACUUAUAGAUGACCUUGCGGUGCAUUAGUUAGUUGGUGGGGUAAAGGCCUACCAAGACGAUGAUGCAUAGCCGACCUGAGAGGGUGAUCGGCCACAUUGGGACUGAGACACGGCCCAAACUCCUACGGGAGGCAGCAGUAGGGAAUCUUCCGCAAUGGGCGAAAGCCUGACGGAGCAAUGCCACGUGAGUGAAGAAGGCCUUCGGGUCGUAAAACUCUGUUAUAAGAGAAGAACAAAUUGUAGAGUAACUGCUACAGUCUUGACGGUAUCUUAUCAGAAAGCCACGGCUAACUACGUGCCAGCCGCCGCUGUAA